Chlorocebus sabaeus (green monkey) is the source of this 66-nucleotide microRNA precursor. NCBI's taxonomy places the organism in Eukaryota, Metazoa, Chordata, Mammalia, Primates, Cercopithecidae. The record is from Ensembl.
GUGCGGAACGCUGGCCAGGGCGGGGCGGGAGGGGACGGGACUCCCGGCCGGAACGCCGCACUUACG